AAUUUACGUACCUAAAUUAACCAGCUCUGAUACCAACUGAUACGAGCUUGUUUCGUAUGAAAUAACGAGUCGUAAUAUUUCCCGAUCGAAAUUAGGUAGUGUCGGCCUUGAAAUAAAUUCAAGUCUUGGUGUUUAAAAUUAAAUGGCUUUGGGAAACAAGGGAGUUUGAUGGAGUGUUGUUUGCUGGAUAUUUCAAUGAAAACAAGUCGAACCCUUAUUAGCAAAUAAGGACCCGAGGCUUAAGGUUUCAAAGAAAUAAAGGAUUUGGGAUAAAACCGAG
This 280-nucleotide long non-coding RNA is filed under the name Gossypium barbadense (sea-island cotton). RNAcentral's name for it is "long non-coding RNA (GBAR_LNC010533)". Lineage: Eukaryota; Viridiplantae; Streptophyta; Magnoliopsida; Malvales; Malvaceae. The record is from RNAcentral.